GAACCAGGAAUGUUAAUAAGGAUGACUACUAUAGGCAGCAGCAAACUUCAAAAAGGAGUUCAAAGGAAAAACAGUCCAUACGUCAGUGCUACACAACUGAGACAUAUUGAUGGAGGGAGAAGAGCAAUUACUAUUAUCACACUUCCAUGUUAUUGGGUUAAAGCUACUGGAAAAGCUAGGGCAAGUACCUCAUCUUGAAAGGAAACAAAGCUGUAAGGCCUUGAAGUGCAAAGAGUUUACCAUGGUAACAGAUGAAAAUGAGCCUCCAAUAGUUACCUAGUAUUCAGCAGACAGAACAGGUGUAUGUUAUCUUUCAAAAUAAACAUCCAUGUUUCAUCCCCUGGCUUUAUUACAAAAAGUAUAGACUUUUUUCUCCCUUCACUUAGAGGAGUCUGGUUACCUGGAGGAGUCUGCCAUUGUUUAAAAAACCAAAGGCUGUUGUUUGGGAAAUGUAACCAACUUUCUAAGGACAGCUGCUUUUGAAGUUUCCAGACUAAAUUGACAUUGUAACUAUUGUAGGAUAAUGCUUUCAUAAUACAGUAGCAGUGACACAAACUGGAUUUGCAGCAUAGAUGGAACCCUAACAGCUUCCUAAAUCAUGCACCAGGUCUUCAUAAAUUCAAGUCAGUUGUAUAAGUCAGGAAUGUGGUUAAAAUAUGGUUCAGUUCCACCUCCACUGCAAGACAGUCCUUUAUUUAAACCAUGCCAGCAGCCUACUGUGUUGUAACAGGUCCCUUCUGGACAGCCAUUGUUACAGUGAUAAAUGGGAACUUCACAAAUACUUAUGCUAAACUUUCUAAGAUCUCUCCGAAAUCAUAUGCAAUGGAACGUGCGCCUCUUCUGAAGACACCUGUCUUGUCUAACUAAAGCCAUGACCACAAUGAGAACAGAACCAAGCACUACAUUUGCAUUGAAACUGUUAUUGCCGGCAGGUUGUAGCACAUUUUCUCUGCCCACUGGGAACAGAAGUAUUUUUUGUUUGAGGACAAUGUUGUUGUAGACUACCCACAACACGGCUAAUUUAUUGAAUGAAUAUAGUUAAAUAUUUUUAUUCUUUGGAGCUUUAUUUUUUUCUUUUUUUUUAAAGUAGCUCAUCCCCAAAACAGCAGCAUUGAGGGAGUUUGUUAGAGCUAACUAUUGCUUUUAUUUGGACUGACACACAGUUAUUGUGAUGCAUCCAUUCUAUUUUCAUCAUGUCAAAGUCUGCUAAAUAUAAUGCUUUGUGACUGCCAUAUCUGGGUGAGAGGUAUCACAGUGACGUAAAAAUUUCCACCUUGGGAGUUUCAGCAAGAGACUGAGUGCUGAAGUGUGCUGUGAAAAAGCCUGCAAUCUUCCAAGUGCUUUUGAUAAGUUGAAGAGAUUUAAUAAGAAACACUUUAAAAGUCUGAUAUUGGGUGUGGGGGAGAUGAUACAGUAAAGAGCAUUUCACUUUUAGGCCACCUCACUUAAUCCAGCUCAGGCUGGUAGUAACCAAAAGUCAUUACAGUCUGAUGGCUGUAUGGUGGCCGAUGUGAAAUGAGUUAUUGAUCAGUUAAUUUCUCAGAGCACAUAUCACACACACAAAACUCAUCACAACAACUUCCUGCUCUAUAACUUUCCUGUGAUGGAGUAUACAACGCCCCAUACCAGUAACGAAAGGGUUAAAUGGUUACUCUGGGACCAGGAAGCCCCACCCACCACAUCUCCAAAGUAUGCACAGCUUGCAAGAGGAGCUCAAAAAGAAAACGGGCCAGUUCAGUAGGCUGCAGACAGUGGAGGUGAACUGAUCCGCACCCUGAAAGCCUGGGAAGAAGACCACUGCAGGAACAUACAGGGAAGAACCUGGUGAUUCUCAGAAGAACUGAAACUUUAUCUUUGAUUCCAGGUCUUCCUGCGGAUGCCCCAGACAGCAAGGAGCCAAUGGCCACCCCCUGUGAUUCCGCAAAACAUAAAAGGGCAUCGAUAUGCUCAUGUGACCCUGGACUACUCCAUCUUGUGCCAGUAAAUGUCCAUACACGGGGCUGUGGGCUUUGUUUGGGAGAGUACAUUUCCAUCCACACGGCAAAGAAUAUAAAAAGACACCCAAGACACCUCCAUUUUGUCUUUCUCCUGCUCUAAUUCUCUGGACUGUGGAUAUACAACUAAAAGGAGUAUCUUGAAUUACGGACAGUGGACCUUCCAAUCUUUUGGAAGUUACCAGCGAGACAUUUGCAAGCCAGCAGUCUAUUCCAUCCCUGCUACAGACCUGAUAUAAGGACUUCGCAAUCAUUUAUCUCAGGAUUUUGGGAAAUGCUGCUGAGAUGGCAUUUGGACUGCCAUGCCAACUCCCAAAAAAGGAGGUCCUUUGUAUGUCCAGGUCUCUCAGUGUAUAUACUUACCGACUAACCAAUCCUUUUUUGUUGUUGUUGUUCUUUAUGAUGUUUAGGUAAAUAUCCUAAAAAUAAUUGUUCAGAUAACAAAUGCAUAUUUUGAAAAUAUAUGAAGUAGUUUAUUUUGAAUUGGUUUUUCAUGUCUUUUGCUGCUUUGGGGGUUGGGGUACCAGAAGUGUAGGAACAAAGCAGAGCUGAUAACGCAGAAUACCAUGUCAUAUGCUCUCAGGCCUGCAUGCAGCCAAUAGGUGAGUGGCUUGACAGGCAACAGAGUGAGUGCUCUUACCUGACAACUGUCACUGAAGAGAGAGCAGGAGCAAUGUGGGAUCACACUCGGUGAACUCAUUGCACCAUGCAGUUGCAACCCUUGCAUUUCCUGCCUACUUUGGAACUACAGUGGUGCAGAGUGACUCAAUAGCUGAUGCAAUAGUGCUUAGCCUUGCUCAGAGCCACUGCAAUCGUAGCUGUGAUGUGAACAUCUGUGCCUCAUUGCAGGUAGUCAUGCAUGGACACACGAGGUUUUAUAAGCGUUCUGUGGGCAUAAUGGUGUUCACAAUGCCCAAAUGCUGUUGUAUAGAUAAGACGGGGUGAAGAUGGGAUACUCAUCAGUUUUACAUAUGGAAGGAACGGCCAGCAACAGGUGGGUGAUUCACAGAAGAAAACUUGAUUUGUUAGGUGGAUCAGAACGUUAGUAUAAUCCAAGUUUUCAAUAAACUGACUUUCUGAACUACCCAUAAGAAUAUUUUAAAGUACAGUUCCAUUCUGAAAAGUGACUCUGUUGAUACAGCUUUGCAGAGUUCCAUGUUUGUGUCUCACUGAAUUGUUAGAAAAUGUGCUCCGCUUCCCAAAAACCAAACUUUUUUCUGACUCCCAGCCCUCCAAACUAAACCUGGGAUUUGAGAAUCAAGAUGGAUUUUAACUUUCCCAGGCACAAAUAACCAGUCAUAAAGUUCCUGCAGGUCGUGUUAUUUCUUCAGUUCCACCGGAACAUUGAAGAUGAAUGGGAUUGCACAGGUGUAACUGAAGAAAUAAUAUGAAGACAAUCUGCUUGCACAAAAUUAAAUAAGGACAUAAUGUGGUCUCCAGUGAUAAUGAUAUAUGAGAAAGAAGGGACCCAGCUUGAUUCUUUUGCUGCCCAGGAUGAGUUUGCAGGGCUAGCAGUUAGAAAAAACAUCUUAUUUGUCAACUAAGCAAAUUUGAUACAGUAACUCCUCACUUAACGUUGUAGAUAUGUUCCCCCAAAAUGCGACUGUCAAGGUUCCUCCCCCACUCUGAACUCUAGGGUACAGAUGUGGGGACCUGCAUGAAAAACCUCCUAAGCUUAUCUUUACCAGCUUAGGUCAAAACUUCCCCA
This is a long non-coding RNA of Chelonia mydas (Green sea turtle), 3702 nucleotides long. RefSeq lists it as uncharacterized. The record is from RefSeq and is a predicted model, not a curated record. NCBI's taxonomy places the organism in Eukaryota, Metazoa, Chordata, Testudines, Cheloniidae. The transcript has 3 exons.